GAAAUAUUGAUGAAUGGGAUAGUAAUUCGAACAGACAGUCGCAGCGAGCCGGGUCAGUGGAAGCCGGUACGGAUGUUACGAAUGAAACGGACCCAGGAAAUGGUUUGCCGAAAAUAAGUAGGUAAAUCCGGUCAGUCGACCGUUACGAAGCAGAGGGGUUAAACAAGAUGUUUAACACUUAGAGUGGUACCGCGGGAAUUUAUAGCUCUCGUCUCUUAG
RNAcentral lists this non-coding RNA (219 nucleotides) under Paenibacillus pectinilyticus. RNAcentral describes it as "T-box sequence". It matches the Rfam family "T-box leader". From Rfam's summary of the family: Uncharged tRNA acts as the effector for transcription antitermination of genes in the T-box leader family. Lineage: Bacteria; Bacillati; Bacillota; Bacilli; Caryophanales; Paenibacillaceae. The record is from RNAcentral.